AGGAGCCUAUAGCCCAUAGCCCAUUUACUACUCGUAUUAGGGUUUCACUCUUUAGCCGUCAAUUCUUGCCCUCCCCCUCUUUAUCUUCUCUCCUCUUUCAUUUCCCUUCAUUUGCAAUCUUUUACUCACUCAAUCUCUCUUUGCUGCCGUUACUCAGUCUCCCUUUGUCGCCAUCACCAUUGUUUCUUAUUUUUCUAUUUAAAUUCCUCAAUUUUUUCGUUGCUUUACUCUUAAAUUAAUUUUGUAAUUUCAUGGGUAAUGGGUUUUGUGGGUUUGUGAGGGUGGUGUUCAUGGCCAGAUCUGGGUUUCUGGCUUCGUGGGUGUGAAUUACGUCGUGGAAUCUGGGUUCUUGGUUGUGGGAUGGUUGUUGGGCACUAUGCUUUACUGUGGCAAAGUUACUCUUUAAUGGCGCCUCUUCCUUCCCCAAUCACUACUUGCCUUCCUCUACCAGCAUAUUCAGUAUGAUUCCUCACAAGACAAAGAGGGGAGCUGCAUCAUUGGCAAGGUUGAAGGUGUAUGAGGGAGUUCCCCCACCUUAUGACAAAAUAAAGAGGGUUGUUGUUCCCGACACUCUCAAGGUGUUGAGGCUUCAAAAGGGUCACAAAUACUGCUUGCUUGGCCGUCUAUCAAUAGAAGUCAGCUGGAGCCACUACAACACCAUCAGGGUACGCAUAUUUUUUAUUAGCUUCUGUCAUUGUUUAUCUUUACUUAUUUUCUUGUUUAACCUCAUUUAAAUUGGGUUUUUUUUUGGCUCAUGUUUAGUUACUUAUCAUGUUAUAAUUGUGGUGCUUUAUUAUACUUGGUUGAUACAUAGAUUUCAAUUAGUUUCUAUUGUGGACUACAUUCAUUAGUUUAUAAUAGUCCUAUUACGAUCCAAAAAUUAUAGGUGUAUGUUUGACUUUUACCGAGGCUCUCUAGGUUUGAAUGAGUUUCCCCUUCAAGUACUUUCCUUAGCUUGAUAAGAGCUGCCAGCUCUGGUUUGCAUCUAGUGGUUUGACUUCAUAUGAAAAAGAAAUUGUUUGCUGUACAUCUGCUUGUGGCACUCGACUGGUUAUGAAUUCAUCAGUUUUCAAAAGCCAAAUUGUUUGAAUCAGAUAACCUCAGAGUCUUGAAGAAUGCAGAGAUACAUCUAGGAAAAUUGCUUGAAGUGGAGCAAUGAAGCAAUGGUCUGGUAAAGGUGUCAUUGUGUCAUAACAAAAUUGAGGAGAUUCCAAGUGGUAUGGCAUCUUUGACCCCAGAAUUUACUAUGCUGAUGCUCAAUAAUAAUCCUCUUAACAAAGAUCCCUGAAUCAUUCUUGAUGAACAUGCGAGCCCAAGUGGUAAAGUUUUGGAGACUACUAUAAACAGGAGGACUAGCAGUGGAGUUGGUAAUAGAUCAAGUAGGUCGACCAGAUCGGAAGAUGAAGUGUUUACUGAUGCUGUCACAAAAUUUGAGAUUAAAGUUGCACUAACUUGAAAAAUUGGUGGAAGAUGUAAAUGAUUUAACAUUAAUUUAGUGGAAAAUCAUUUAAAUCUCUUAUUGCCAUUGAGAUUUUCUUUUGCUCUGUUUUUUUUUUUAGUUUUAGUUACUAGAGGAUAAUAAAUGUAUUUUUUUUUUAUUUUUAUUAUUGUAUAAAUAUGAAGCACUAUUUUUAUCUCAAUUAAUUAAUAAAAUAAUUGUGCUAUAAUUAUUAUGCAAGCUA
Molecule: long non-coding RNA, 1682 nt
Organism: Chenopodium quinoa (quinoa)
Lineage: Eukaryota; Viridiplantae; Streptophyta; Magnoliopsida; Caryophyllales; Amaranthaceae
Exons: 4
Source: RefSeq, a predicted model, not a curated record